Molecule: ribosomal RNA, 844 nt
Filed under: Rhodococcus sp. RKJ5
Lineage: Bacteria; Bacillati; Actinomycetota; Actinomycetes; Mycobacteriales; Nocardiaceae
Description: bacterial SSU rRNA
Rfam family: Bacterial small subunit ribosomal RNA
Source: RNAcentral
CAGUCGAGCGGAAGGCCUUUCUNCCUCACGAGCGGAGACGGCGGGUGAGUAACACGUGGGUGAUCUGCCCUGCCCUUCGGGAUAAGCCUGGGAAACUGGGUCUAAUACCGGAUAUGACCUCCUAUCGCAUGGUGGGUGGUGGAAAGAUUUAAUCGGUGCAGGAUGGGCCCGCGGCCUAUCAGCUUGUUGGUGGGGUAAUGGCCUACCAAGGCGACGACGGGUAGCCGACCUGAGAGGGUGACCGGCCACACUGGUUACUGAGACACGGCCCAGACUCCUACGGGAGGCAGCAGUGGGGAAUAUUGCACAAUGGGCGAAAGCCUGAUGCAGCGACGCCGCGUGAGGGAUGCCGCCUUCGGGUUGUAAACCUCUUUCAGCAGGGACGAAGCGCAAGUGACGGUACCUGCAGAAGAAGCACCGGCUAACUACGUGCCAGCAGCCGCGGUAAUACGUAGGGUGCAAGCGUUGUCCGGAAUUACUGGGCGUAAAGAGUUCGUAGGCGGUUUGUCGCGUCGUUUGUGAAAACCAGCAGCUCAACUGCUGGCUUGCAGGCGAUACGGGCAGACUUGAGUACUGCAGGGGAGACUGGAAUUCCUGGUGUAGCGGUGAAAUGCGCAGAUAUCAGGAGGAACACCGGUGGCGAAGGCGGGUCUCUGGGCAGUAACUGACGCUGAGGAACGAAAGCGUGGGUAGCGAACAGGAUUAGAUACCCUGGUAGUCCACGCCGUAAACGGUGGGCGCUAGGUGUGGGUUCCUUCCACGGAAUCCGUGCCGUAGCUAACGCAUUAAGCGCCCCGCCUGGGGAGUACGGCCGCAAGGCUAAACUCAAAGGAAUUGACGGGGG